RNAcentral lists this ribosomal RNA (505 nucleotides) under uncultured bacterium. RNAcentral describes it as "partial 16S ribosomal RNA". It matches the Rfam family "Bacterial small subunit ribosomal RNA", at positions 28 to 507 of the family's 1533-position model. The record is from RNAcentral.
GACGAACGCUGGCGGCGUGCCUAAUACAUGCAAGUAGAACGCACAGUUUAUACCGUAGCUUGCUACACCAUAGACUGUGAGUUGCGAACGGGUGAGUAACGCGUAGGUAACCUGCCUGGUAGCGGGGGAUAACUAUUGGAAACGAUAGCUAAUACCGCAUAAUAUUAAUUAUUGCAUGAUAAUUAAUUGAAAGGUGCAAUUGCACCACUACCAGAUGGACCUGCGUUGUAUUAGCUAGUAGGUGAGGUAACGGCUCACCUAGGCGACGAUACAUAGCCGACCUGGGAGGGUGAUCGGCCACACUGGGACUGAGACACGGCCCAGACUCCUACGGGAGGCAGCAGUAGGGAAUCUUCGGCAAUGGACGAAAGUCUGACCGAGCAACGCCGCGUGAGUGAAGAAGGUUUUCGGAUCGUAAAGCUCUGUUGUAAGAGAAGAACGGGUGUGAGAGUGGAAAGUUCACACUGUGACGUUAUCUUACAAGAAAGGGACGGCUAACUACGUG